CUGAGAAGCGAAAGCAUGGGGAGCGAACAGGAUUAGAUACCCUGGUAGUCCAUGCCGUAAACGUUGGGAACUAGGUGUGGGUCUCAUUCCACGAGAUCCGUGCCGCAGCUAACGCAUUAAGUUCCCCGCCUGGGGAGUACGGCCGCAAGGCUAAAACUCAAAGGAAUUGACGGGGGCCCGCACAAGCGGCGGAGCAUGCGGAUUAAUUCGAUGCAACGCGAAGAACCUUACCAAGGCUUGACAUACACCGGAAUCACUCAGAGAUGGGUGCGUCUUCGGACUGGUGUACAGGUGGUGCAUGGUUGUCGUCAGCUCGUGUCGUGAGAUGUUGGGUUAAGUCCCGCAACGAGCGCAACCCUCGUUCUAUGUUGCCAGCACGUGAUGGUGGGGACUCAUAGGAGACUGCCGGGGUCAACUCGGAGGAAGGUGGGGAUGACGUCAAAUCAUCAUGCCCCUUAUGUCUUGGGCUUCACGCAUGCUACAAUGGCCGGUACAAAGGGCUGCGAAACCGCGAGGUGGAGCGAAUCCCAAAAAACCGGUCUCAGUUCGG
This 550-nucleotide ribosomal RNA is filed under the name uncultured bacterium. Its description in RNAcentral is "bacterial SSU rRNA". It matches the Rfam family "Bacterial small subunit ribosomal RNA", at positions 746 to 1296 of the family's 1533-position model. The record is from RNAcentral.